This 254-nucleotide ribosomal RNA is filed under the name uncultured bacterium. RNAcentral's name for it is "partial 16S ribosomal RNA". It matches the Rfam family "Bacterial small subunit ribosomal RNA", at positions 524 to 776 of the family's 1533-position model. The record is from RNAcentral.
UACGUAGGGCGCAAGCGUUGUCCGGAAUUAUUGGGCGUAAAGAGCUCGUAGGCGGCUUGUCACGUCGGGGUGUGAAAGCCCGGGGCUUAACCCCGGGUCUGCAUUCGAUACGGGCUAGCUAGAGUGUGGCAGGGGAGAGCGGAACUCCUGGUGUAGCGGUGGAAUGCGCAGAUAUCAGGAAGAACACCAGUGGCGAAGGCGGCUCACUGGCCCGAUACUGACGCUGAGGCACGAAAGCGUGGGGAGCAAACAGG